UAGCACAUAUUGCAGCAGCACCGC
Molecule: non-coding RNA, 24 nt
Filed under: Arabidopsis thaliana (thale cress)
Lineage: Eukaryota; Viridiplantae; Streptophyta; Magnoliopsida; Brassicales; Brassicaceae
Source: RNAcentral